UACGGGGGGGGCAAGCGUUGUUCGGAAUUACUGGGCGUAAAGGGCUCGUAGGUGGCCAACUAAGUCAGACGUGAAAUCCCUCGGCUUAACCGGGGAACUGCGUCUGAUACUGGAUGGCUUGAGUUUGGGAGAGGGACGCGGAAUUCCAGGUGUAGCGGUGAAAUGCGUAGAUAUCUGGAGGAGCACCGGUGGCGAAGGCGGCGUCCUGGACCAAUACUGACACUGAUGAGCGAAAGCCAGGGGAGCAAACGGG
RNAcentral lists this ribosomal RNA (253 nucleotides) under uncultured bacterium. RNAcentral's name for it is "partial 16S ribosomal RNA". It matches the Rfam family "Bacterial small subunit ribosomal RNA", at positions 524 to 776 of the family's 1533-position model. The record is from RNAcentral.